UACAUCAGAAAGACAGAAGCAACACUGCUGACCAGUUGAUCUCCAGUGAGAAAAAGGUGAAAAUACCUCUGCAAGAACGUGCCAAGAUCAGGGGGAGAAAGAGAGGCAGACCUCGUGUUUACUUAACUCCUAAUGAUAGAGCCCUACAGAAACGAUUCCGAUCAAGAGGGUCAAGAAAGCACAGAGGUGAUAGUGUGAAUUUUCACUCUCAAAUACUUCCUGUGA
This 225-nucleotide long non-coding RNA is filed under the name Ursus maritimus (polar bear). RNAcentral's name for it is "lncRNA (ENSUMAG00000017111.1)". Lineage: Eukaryota; Metazoa; Chordata; Mammalia; Carnivora; Ursidae. The record is from RNAcentral.